GACGAACGCUGGCGGCGUGCUUAAAACAUGCAAGUCGAACGGACUUCUCAUGAAGCUUGCGAUUGAGAAGUUAGUGGCGGACGGGUGAGUAACGCGUGGGCAACCUGCCCCUGAGCCCGGGAUAACAGUUCGAAAGGACUGCUAAGACCGGAUAUACUUGCGGGGAAGCAUUUCUCUGUAAGGAAAGGGAACGCUCAGGGAUGGGCCCGCGUCCCAUUAGCUAGUUGGUGAGGUAACGGCCCACAAGGCGACGAUGGGUAGCCGGCCUGAGAGGGUGAACGGCCACACUGGGACUGAGACACGGCCCAGACUCCUACGGGAGGCAGCAGUUGGGAAUCUUCGGCAAUGGGCGCAAGCCUGACCGAGCAACGCCGCGUGAGUGAUGAAGGUUUUCGGAUUGUAAAGCUCUGUCUUCCGGGACGAUAAUGACGGUACCGGAGGAGGAAGCCACGGCUAACUACGUG
This 464-nucleotide ribosomal RNA is filed under the name uncultured bacterium. RNAcentral describes it as "bacterial SSU rRNA". It matches the Rfam family "Bacterial small subunit ribosomal RNA", at positions 28 to 507 of the family's 1533-position model. The record is from RNAcentral.